AUUGAACGCUGGCGGCAUGCCUUACACAUGCGAGUCGAACGGUAACGGGCCUUCGGGUGCCGACGAGUGGCGAACGGGUGAGUAAUGCAUCGGAACGUACCUUUCAGUGGGGGAUAACGUAGCGAAAGUUACGCUAAUACCGCAUAUUCUGUGAGCAGGAAAGCAGGGGAUCGCAAGACCUUGCGCUGAUUGAGCGGCCGAUGUCAGAUUAGCUAGUUGGUGAGGUAAAGGCUCACCAAGGCGACGAUCUGUAGCGGGUCUGAGAGGAUGAUCCGCCACACUGGAACUGAGACACGGUCCAGACUCCUACGGGAGGCAGCAGUGGGGAAUUUUGGACAAUAGGGGGCAACCCGUGAUCCAGCCAUGCCGCGUGAGUGAAGAAGGCCUCGGUGUAAGA
This 397-nucleotide ribosomal RNA is filed under the name uncultured bacterium. RNAcentral describes it as "bacterial SSU rRNA". It matches the Rfam family "Bacterial small subunit ribosomal RNA", at positions 30 to 430 of the family's 1533-position model. The record is from RNAcentral.